AUACGGAGGAUCCGAGCGUUAUCCGGAUUUAUUGGGUUUAAAGGGUGCGCAGGCGGGAUGUUAAGUCGGCGGUGGAAUUUUGCAGCUCAACUGUAAAAGUGCCUUCGAUACUGGCUUCCUUUAGUGUGGAUAAAGUAGGCGGGAUUUUUGGGGUCGCGGUGAAAUGCUUAGAUAUCACGAGGAACUCCGAUUGCGCAGGCAGCUUACUAAACCACUACUGACGCUCAGGCACGAAGGCGUGGGGAUCAAACAGGAUUAGAUACCCUGGUAGUCCACGCAGUAAACGAUGAUUACUGGCUGUUUGCGAUACAAUGUAAGCGGCUGAGCGAAAGCGUUAAGUAAUCCACCUGGGGAGUACGUUCGCAAGAAUGAAACUCAAAUGAAUGGGCGGGG
This 393-nucleotide ribosomal RNA is filed under the name uncultured bacterium. RNAcentral's name for it is "partial 16S ribosomal RNA". It matches the Rfam family "Bacterial small subunit ribosomal RNA", at positions 523 to 918 of the family's 1533-position model. The record is from RNAcentral.